GGUAAUCCUAAACCCUGAGAAUUAAGCAUAAUCGGAUGCCGUUUAAUUGGCGGAGAGUUGAAUGGACUAACGAGCGCAUGACUGUCUUUAAUAAAGGUAUAAUGAAAUUGGAGUAAUAGUGAAGAUACUAUUAAAAAUAGCAGGACGAAAAGACCCCGUGAAGCUUUACUAUAAACCUGUUGGUUUAAAUAAAAAUAUGAAAUAAGUAUUAAUAUAAUAAAAAUUAAGUGUUAACUAAGUAAAAUGGAAGAGUAUGAAUCACUUAAUUUAGCACCUUUUUUAUUCUGUUUUUUUUUUUCUUCUUUUAUUUAUGCAAGGAGGAUUGUUAGUUUUGGUGGGGUGCCAGCGCAUUAAAAAAAACAUGUUGUUAGCAAUAAGUCAAAUUAGUAAUAACUGUGUAAUAAACAUCUUUAUUCAGGGAUAAAAAUCGGUAAAGUGACCCGUCCAAAAAUAAAAAAAAAUUGUAAUAUAAAAGGACGACAGAGAAUAAAAGUUACUCCGGGGAUAACAGG
Molecule: ribosomal RNA, 512 nt
Filed under: Lensia havock
Lineage: Eukaryota; Metazoa; Cnidaria; Hydrozoa; Siphonophorae; Diphyidae
Description: partial 16S ribosomal RNA
Source: RNAcentral